RNAcentral lists this transfer RNA (72 nucleotides) under Vicugna pacos (alpaca). Its description in RNAcentral is "tRNA-Ala (AGC) (tRNA-Ala-AGC-452-1)". It matches the Rfam family "tRNA". From Rfam's summary of the family: Transfer RNA (tRNA) molecules are approximately 80 nucleotides in length. Their secondary structure includes four short double-helical elements and three loops (D, anti-codon, and T loops). Further hydrogen bonds mediate the characteristic L-shaped molecular structure. tRNAs have two regions of fundamental functional importance: the anti-codon, which is responsible for specific mRNA codon recognition, and the 3' end, to which the tRNAs corresponding amino acid is attached (by aminoacyl-tRNA synthetases). tRNAs cope with the degeneracy of the genetic code in two manners: having more than one tRNA (with a specific anti-codon) for a particular amino acid; and 'wobble' base-pairing, i.e. permitting non-standard base-pairing at the 3rd anti-codon position. Lineage: Eukaryota; Metazoa; Chordata; Mammalia; Artiodactyla; Camelidae. The record is from Rfam by way of RNAcentral.
GGGAGUAUAGCUCAGUGGUAGAGCACAUGCUUAGCAUGCAUGAGGUCCUGGGUUCAAUCCCCAGUACCUCCU